RNAcentral lists this ribosomal RNA (812 nucleotides) under Cordyceps cateniannulata. Its description in RNAcentral is "LSU rRNA". It matches the Rfam family "Eukaryotic large subunit ribosomal RNA", at positions 114 to 958 of the family's 3401-position model. The record is from RNAcentral. Lineage: Eukaryota; Fungi; Ascomycota; Sordariomycetes; Hypocreales; Cordycipitaceae.
UUUGAAAUCUGGCCCCCGGGUCCGAGUUGUAAUUUGCAGAGGAUGCUUUGGGCGAGGUGCCUUCCGAGUUCCCUGGAACGGGACGCCACAGAGGGUGAGAGCCCCGUCUGGUCGGACACCGAGCCCGUGUAAAGCUCCUUCGACGAGUCGAGUAGUUUGGGAAUGCUGCUCAAAAUGGGAGGUAUAUGUCUUCUAAAGCUAAAUAUUGGCCAGAGACCGAUAGCGCACAAGUAGAGUGAUCGAAAGAUGAAAAGCACUUUGAAAAGAGGGUUAAAAAGUACGUGAAAUUGUUGAAAGGGAAGCGCCUAUGACCAGACUUGGGCCCGGUGAAUCAUCCAGCGUUCUCGCUGGUGCACUUUGCCGGGCACAGGCCAGCAUCAGUUUGGCGCGGGGGACAAAGGCUUCGGGAAUGUGGCUCCCCCGGGAGUGUUAUAGCCCGCUGCGUAAUACCCUGCGCCGGACUGAGGUACGCGCAUCGCAAGGAUGCUGGCGUAAUGGUCAUCAGCGACCCGUCUUGAAACACGGACCAAGGAGUCGUCUUCGUAUGCGAGUGUUCGGGUGUCAAACCCCUACGCGGAAUGAAAGUGAACGCAGGUGAGAGCUUCGGCGCAUCAUCGACCGAUCCUGAUGUUCUCGGAUGGAUUUGAGUAAGAGCAUACGGGGCCGGACCCGAAAGAAGGUGAACUAUGCCUGUAUAGGGUGAAGCCAGAGGAAACUCUGGUGGAGGCUCGCAGCGGUUCUGACGUGCGAAUCGAUCGUCAAAUAUGGGCAUGGGGGCGAAAGACUAAUCGAACCUUCUAGUAGCUGGUUUC